CUCUUAUCCAGAGAGGUGGAGGGACCGGCCCUUUGAAACCUCGGCAACCCUGGAAAAAGCGUCGGCGUGCAACGUUUAGUGAACGAGGCAUGCGCAGCUUGAUCAUUAGGGUGCCAAAUCCGGCAGCGCGACUGGAAGAUGAGAG
RNAcentral lists this non-coding RNA (145 nucleotides) under Kouleothrix aurantiaca. RNAcentral's name for it is "SAM-I sequence". It matches the Rfam family "SAM riboswitch aptamer (S box leader)". From Rfam's summary of the family: The SAM riboswitch is found upstream of a number of genes which code for proteins involved in methionine or cysteine biosynthesis in Gram-positive bacteria. The SAM riboswitch acts at the level of transcription termination control. Lineage: Bacteria; Bacillati; Chloroflexota; Chloroflexia; Chloroflexales; Roseiflexaceae. The record is from Rfam by way of RNAcentral.